CAAAAACAUCGCCUCCUGCAACACAACCAAGUAUAGGAGGUCCAGCCUGCCCAGUGACUACAAGUUCAACGGCCGCGGUAUUUUGACCGUGCAAAGGUAGCGCAAUCACUUGUCUUUUAAAUAGAGACCUGUAUGAAUGGCUAAACGAGGGCUUAACUGUCUCCCCUUUCCAGUCAGUGAAAUUGAUCUACCCGUGCAGAAGCGGGUAUAAUAAUACAAGACGAGAAGACCCUUUGGAGCUUAAGGUACAAAACUCAACCACGUUAAGCAACUCAAUAAAAAGUGAAAACUUUGUGGAACAUGAGAUUUUACCUUCGGUUGGGGCGACCACGGAGGAAAAAAAAGCCUCCAGGUGGAACGGGAAAAUUUCCUAAAACUAAGAGAGACAUCUCUAAGCCACAGAACAUCUGACCAAAUAUGAUCCGGCUAAUACAAGCCGAUCAACGAACCAAGUUACCCUAGGGAUAACAGCGCAAUCCUCUCCCAGAGUCCAUAUCGACGAGGGGGUUUACGACCUCGAUGUUGGAUCAGGACAUCCUAAUGGUGCAGCCGCUAUUAAGGGUUCGUUUGUUCAACGAUUAAAGUCCUACGUGAUCUGA
This 599-nucleotide ribosomal RNA is filed under the name Carassius auratus (goldfish). RNAcentral's name for it is "partial large subunit ribosomal RNA". It matches the Rfam family "Bacterial large subunit ribosomal RNA", at positions 1808 to 2608 of the family's 2925-position model. Lineage: Eukaryota; Metazoa; Chordata; Actinopteri; Cypriniformes; Cyprinidae. The record is from RNAcentral.